RNAcentral lists this ribosomal RNA (275 nucleotides) under uncultured bacterium. RNAcentral's name for it is "partial 16S ribosomal RNA". It matches the Rfam family "Bacterial small subunit ribosomal RNA", at positions 399 to 691 of the family's 1533-position model. The record is from RNAcentral.
GCGUGUGUGAAGAAGGCCUGCGGGUUGUAAAGCACUUUCGAUAGGGAAGAUUAUGACGGUACCUAUAGAAGAAGCACCGGCUAACUCCGUGCCAGCAGCCGCGGUAAUACGGAGGGUGCAAGCGUUAAUCGGAAUUACUGGGCGUAAAGCGCGCGUAGGCGGCUUAGUAAGUCGGAUGUGAAAGCCCCGGGCUUAACCUGGGAACUGCAUUCGAUACUGCUGGGCUAGAGUAUGGAAGAGGGAAGUGGAAUUCCGGGUGUAGCGGUGAAAUGCGU